RNAcentral lists this ribosomal RNA (847 nucleotides) under uncultured bacterium. Its description in RNAcentral is "bacterial SSU rRNA". It matches the Rfam family "Bacterial small subunit ribosomal RNA", at positions 51 to 888 of the family's 1533-position model. The record is from RNAcentral.
ACACAUGCAAGUCGAGGGGCAGCGGAGAGGUAGUAAUACCUUUGCCGGCGACCGGCGCACGGGUGAGUAACACGUAUGCAAUCCACCUGUAACAGGGGGAUAACCCGGAGAAAUCCGGACUAAUACCCCAUAAUAUGGGUUCUCCGCAUGGAGGGUCCAUUAAAGAGAGCAAUUUUGGUUACAGACGAGCAUGCGCUCCAUUAGCCAGUUGGCGGGGUAACGGCCCACCAAAGCGACGAUGGAUAGGGGUUCUGAGAGGAAGGUCCCCCACAUUGGAACUGAGACACGGUCCAAACUCCUACGGGAGGCAGCAGUGAGGAAUAUUGGUCAAUGGUCGGCAGACUGAACCAGCCAAGUCGCGUGAGGGAAGACGGCCCUACGGGUUGUAAACCUCUUUUGUCGGAGAGUAAAGUACGCUACGUGUAGCGUAUUGCAAGUAUCCGAAGAAAAAGCAUCGGCUAACUCCGUGCCAGCAGCCGCGGUAAUACGGAGGAUGCAAGCGUUAUCCGGAUUUAUUGGGUUUAAAGGGUGCGUAGGCGGCACGCCAAGUCAGCGGUGAAAUUUCCGGGCUCAACCCGGACUGUGCCGUUGAAACUGGCGAGCUAGAGUGCACAAGAGGCAGGCGGAAUGCGUGGUGUAGCGGUGAAAUGCAUAGAUAUCACGCAGAACCCCGAUUGCGAAGGCAGCCUGCUAGGGUGCGACAGACGCUGAGGCACGAAAGCGUGGGUAUCGAACAGGAUUAGAUACCCUGGUAGUCCACGCAGUAAACGAUGAAUACUAACUGUUUGCGAUACAAUGUAAGCGGUACAGCGAAAGCGUUAAGUAUUCCACCUGGGGAGUACGCCGG